CCCCCCCCCCCCCCGUGAUGAAAAUGUCCGUUCCUUUUCCUUUGGUCGACCUAAUGAAUGAACUAAGAAGACGCGUUCCUUUUGUCCAUCUGAUGGAUUUGACACAUACAGUCCCUGUGUUUAAUCCUUUAAAUUAAAACUGACCCUUUUCACAUAAAUCCUUUCAAGGCAAAUCAUAUUGGACUUAGUCUUUACAAAAUGGUCCUUAUGCUAUUUUUAAAAGAUCAAAAAUAGUCCCUUUUGGUUUAAUUCAAUACAAAAAGAAAUUCUUUGAGUUUGAUAUUUUACCAAACAAACCCAAAAAUAUUUUGAAGUCCAAAAGUGGUUAAGUUGCGGUUUCUCACGACAAGCUUCACGAAGCGAGCCUAGAUCGAGAUCACGCAUCAAAUGUUAUUUAUAAGGUCAGAAGAGUUUCUACAGAAGAUUCUCCGAUAUUCUUAUCAUACAAAUGUGAACGCCGGAUUGUUAGGCGUGUGUAGCGUUUCAGCAAUAACUAUUGUCAAUGUAAUUUCCAUUUCGGUAGUAAUAAAAGAUUAUAUUUCUAUUGUUCAA
Long non-coding RNA from Lactuca sativa (garden lettuce), 552 nucleotides. RefSeq lists it as uncharacterized. The record is from RefSeq and is a predicted model, not a curated record. Lineage: Eukaryota; Viridiplantae; Streptophyta; Magnoliopsida; Asterales; Asteraceae.